CCAAAAAGCGGGCUGGAAGCGGGGACGUACUUGUCGCUGGCAGCCCGGCAGUCAAGUCGAAGAAACCCCGGAGAGGAAAGGCUGGCAGGUCUGUCCAACAGCAUAUGUCGACGGACACACACCAUUGUUUUAUCCUCGCUUUUUGCGACUCCUUUACCAACCUUAAGUGCGCCUCUCUCCCAAAAGCUUCGCCCCUCCCUCCCCCUACCAACUACGCUG
RNAcentral lists this long non-coding RNA (219 nucleotides) under Volvox carteri. RNAcentral describes it as "long non-coding RNA (VCAR_LNC001628)". The record is from RNAcentral. Lineage: Eukaryota; Viridiplantae; Chlorophyta; Chlorophyceae; Chlamydomonadales; Volvocaceae.